This is a long non-coding RNA of Polypterus senegalus (gray bichir), 644 nucleotides long. RefSeq lists it as uncharacterized. The record is from RefSeq and is a predicted model, not a curated record. NCBI's taxonomy places the organism in Eukaryota, Metazoa, Chordata, Cladistia, Polypteriformes, Polypteridae. The transcript is spliced from 2 exons.
GCAAGCGAACGCAGAACGUCAAGAUAAGUUUACUUUAGUGUGCAGUUCAUACCUGGAGAUUAUGAAGAAUUUAGUUCUUUUAUUUUUAUUUUAUAUUAAAUGUGUGAUAUGUCAAAUAGAAGUCCGUCAGACACCAUUAAAUUUACAAGUUGCAGUUGGGGAAGAAGCAUGGAUUACAUGCAAAUACAAAGCUUCAAGCUCUAAUAAUAUUCAAUGGUAUCGACAGCUCCCAAAUGCCGGGCCUGAGCACCUUACAAUUUCUGUGAUCGAUGGUACAGUCGCAAAAGAAAAUAUUCAAGUUUCUCUGAACAAAUCACAAUACGUAAGCAAUCUAACGAUUAUGAACUCUGAAAUCCGAAAUUCAGCAUUCUACUUUUGUGCUAUGGAGGCACAUUGUGUUUGCUUUACAAGAUGGCUGCACAAAAACCGUAAGCGGGUAGUUAGGGUAUGUAUGUGGAUUCUACAACUGACAAUUUGUCAAAGAAAUGGUUGUUAAAUAAGUGAAUAAGAAAUAACUGUUAAACAAAUACCCAGAAACUUAUGAGUUAUUAAAACUGUAAGGUUUUUAAUGCUUAGGUCUUGUGGCGCAGAGGUCAGGCCGGUGGCUCAUAUGAACAGUGCUGUCUUCGUAUUUUUUUUUUUUU